UGGGGAAUAUUGCACAAUGGCGGGAACUCUGAUGCAGCGACGCCGCGUGAACGAAGAAGGCUUUCGAGUCGUAAAGUUCUCUUAUCUGGGAAGAUAAUGACGGUACCAUAAGAAAAAGCCCCGGCUCACUACGUGCCAGCAGCCGCGGUAAUACGUAGGGGGCUAGCGUUGUCCGGAAUCACUGGGCGUAAAGGGUUCGCAGGCGGAAAUGCAAGUCAGGUGUAAAAGGCAGUAGCUUAACUACUGUAAGCAUUUGAAACUGCAUAUCUUGAGAAGAGUAGAGGUAAGUGGAAUUUUUAGUGUAGCGGUGAAAUGCGUAGAUAUUAAAAAGAAUACCGGUGGCGAAGGCGACUUACUGGGCUCAUUCUGACGCUGAUGAACGAAAGCGUGGGUAGCAAACAGG
RNAcentral lists this ribosomal RNA (403 nucleotides) under Fusobacteriota bacterium. Its description in RNAcentral is "Fusobacteria bacterium partial 16S ribosomal RNA". It matches the Rfam family "Bacterial small subunit ribosomal RNA", at positions 355 to 776 of the family's 1533-position model. Lineage: Bacteria; Fusobacteriati; Fusobacteriota. The record is from RNAcentral.